GAUGAAGAACGCAGCGAAAUGCGAUAAGUAGUGUGAAUUGCAGAAUUCAGUGAAUCAUCGAAUCUUUGAACGCACAUUGCGCCGCUUGGUAUUCCAUGGGGCAUGCCUGUUCGAGCGUCAUUUGUACCUUCAAGCUUUGCUUGGUGUUGGGUGUUUGUCUCGCCUUUGCGUGUAGACUCGCCUUAAAAUAAUUGGCAGCCGGCGUAUUGAUUUCGGAGCGCAGUACAUCUCGCGCUUUGCACUCAUAACGACAGCGUCCAAAAGUACAUUUUACACUCUUGACCUCGGAUCAGGUAGGGAUACCCGCUGAACUUAAGCAUAUCAAUAAGCGGAGGA
This 336-nucleotide unclassified non-coding RNA is filed under the name soil metagenome. RNAcentral describes it as "partial contains 5.8S ribosomal RNA, internal transcribed spacer 2, and large subunit ribosomal RNA". The stretch from base 1 to 120 matches the Rfam family "5.8S ribosomal RNA", at positions 35 to 154 of the family's 154-position model. The record is from RNAcentral.